Molecule: long non-coding RNA, 388 nt
Organism: Megalobrama amblycephala (Wuchang bream)
Lineage: Eukaryota; Metazoa; Chordata; Actinopteri; Cypriniformes; Xenocyprididae
Exons: 2
Source: RefSeq, a predicted model, not a curated record
CACAUCACAAGCCCCUCCCACAAUAAUUCACCAUUAAAUACUGGGAAUAUUUCCAUCAUCCUCCAAGAGAAGGACAAACUCCAGGUGUAGCAGCUUAAAUCUGUGUGACUGUUAAAGAUGGAGUUUAUUAAAGAGGAGAUUGAAGACAUGAGUGAUCCAUCAUCUGAGGAACAAACCGACCAAAUAGAAGUGAUGGAGCAAAGACACAAAGUGAAUGAAGUGGAGGAGAAACAUGACUUCAAAACACAAGGAACAAAAGCCAAAAAGCUGCACACAUGCUCUCAGUGUGGGAAAGAGUUUUUCUCAUAAAGCAGGUCUCAGUUAUCAUCUGCACAUUCACUCUGGAGAAAAACCAUUCAGCUGUGAUCAGUGUGGCAAAGACUUUAUU